ACGGAAGGCAGCAGUGGGGAAUAUUGGGCAAUGGGGGAAACCCUGACCCAGCAACGCCGCGUGAAGGAAGAAGGCCUUCGGGUUGUAAACUUCUUUUACCAGGGACGAAAAAUGACGGUACCUGGAGAAAAAGCAACGGCUAACUACGUGCCAGUAGCCGCGGUAAUACGUAGGUUGCAAGCGUUGUCCGGAUUUACUGGGUGUAAAGGGCGUGUAGGCGGAGCUGCAAGUCAGAUGUGAAAUCCCGGGGCUCAACCCCGGAACUGCAGUUGAAACUGUAGCCCUUGAGUAUCGGAGAGGCAAGCGGAAUGCGUAGUGUAGCGGUGAAAUGCGUAGAUAUUAGGAGGAACACCAGUGGCGAAGGCGGCUUGCUGGACGACAACUGACGCUGAGGCGCGAAAGCGUGGGGAGCAAACAGGAUUAGAUACCCUGGUA
Molecule: ribosomal RNA, 435 nt
Filed under: uncultured Oscillospiraceae bacterium
Lineage: Bacteria; Bacillati; Bacillota; Clostridia; Eubacteriales; Oscillospiraceae
Description: bacterial SSU rRNA
Rfam family: Bacterial small subunit ribosomal RNA
Source: RNAcentral